RNAcentral lists this unclassified non-coding RNA (252 nucleotides) under uncultured Mortierella. Its description in RNAcentral is "sequence contains ITS2". Lineage: Eukaryota; Fungi; Mortierellomycota; Mortierellomycetes; Mortierellales; Mortierellaceae. The record is from RNAcentral.
AACACCUCAACUCCCCUUUCUUUUUUGAAAUGGGAGCUGGACUUGAGUGAUCCCAACGCUUUUCUCACCGAAAAGUGGCGGGUUACUUGAAAUGCAGGUAGGUGCAGCUGGACUUUUCUCUGAGCUAAAAGCAUAUCUAUUUAGUCUGCCUAAAAAACAGAUUAUUACCUUUGCUGCAGCUAACAUAAAGGAGAUUAGUUCUUGUGCUGACUGAUGCAUGAUUCACAGAGACAGCUUCGGCUGGCUUUGUAA